UACGGAGGGUGCGAGCGUUGUCCGGAAUCAUUGGGCGUAAAGGGCGCGUAGGUGGCGGGACAAGCGUGCGGUGAAAGCCUGGGGCUCAACCCCGGGUCGGCCGUGCGAACUGUUUUGCUUGAGCACUGUAGAGGCAGGCGGAAUUCCGGGUGUAGCGGUGGAAUGCGUAGAGAUCCGGAAGAACACCGGUGGCGAAGGCGGGUCUCUGGGCCGAUACUGACGCUGAGGAGCGAAAGCGUGGGGAGCGAACAGG
This 253-nucleotide ribosomal RNA is filed under the name uncultured bacterium. RNAcentral's name for it is "partial 16S ribosomal RNA". It matches the Rfam family "Bacterial small subunit ribosomal RNA", at positions 524 to 776 of the family's 1533-position model. The record is from RNAcentral.